RNAcentral lists this ribosomal RNA (301 nucleotides) under uncultured bacterium. RNAcentral's name for it is "partial 16S ribosomal RNA". It matches the Rfam family "Bacterial small subunit ribosomal RNA", at positions 509 to 807 of the family's 1533-position model. The record is from RNAcentral.
CAGUCGCCGCGGGAAUACGGAGGGGGCUAGCGUUGUUCGGAAUUACUGGGCGUAAAGCGCACGUAGGCGGCUUGGUAAGUUAGAGGUGAAAGCCCAGGGCUCAACCCUGGAAUUGCCUUUAAGACUGCCGAGCUAGCAGGUGAGAGAGGUGAGUGGAAUUCCGAGUGUAGAGGUGAAAUUCGUAGAUAUUCGGAAGAACACCAGUGGCGAAGGCGGCUCACUGGCUCAUUCUAGACGCUGAGGUGCGUAAGCGUGGGGAGCAAACAGGAUUAGAUACCCGGGUAGUCCCUGUCUCUUAUAC